RNAcentral lists this ribosomal RNA (505 nucleotides) under uncultured bacterium. RNAcentral describes it as "partial 16S ribosomal RNA". It matches the Rfam family "Bacterial small subunit ribosomal RNA", at positions 28 to 507 of the family's 1533-position model. The record is from RNAcentral.
GACGAACGCUGGCGGCGUGCCUAAUACAUGCAAGUAGAACGCACAGUUUAUACCGUAGCUUGCUCCACCAUAAACUGUGAGUUGCGAACGGGUGAGUAACGCGUAGGUAACCUGCCUGGUAGCGGGGGAUAACUAUUGGAAACGAUAGCUAAUACCGCAUAAUAUUGAUUAUUGCAUGAUAAUUGAUUGAAAGAUGCUAUUGCAUCACUACCAGAUGGACCUGCGUUGUAUUAGCUAGUAGGUGAGGUAACGGCUCACCUAGGCGACGAUACAUAGCCGACCUGGGAGGGUGAUCGGCCACGCUGGGACUGGGACACGGCCCAGACUCCUACGGGAGGCAGCAGUAGGGAAUCUUCGGCAAUGGACGAAAGUCUGACCGAGCAACGCCGCGUGAGUGAAGAAGGUUUUCGGAUCGUAAAGCUCUGUUGUAAGAGAAGAACGGGUGUGAGAGUGGAAAGUUCACACUGUGACGGUAUCUUACCAGAAAGGGACGGCUAACUACGUG